CAGCGGGCAAUUUUUAGUAGUCAUGUACAUUCUCGUAAUACAAAUUUUAUGAUCCUGAGAAGGGCAGCUGUGGUGGGAGCAACGGUACUCUAUUUCCAUCCCCACAAAUGGGUAUAACGAAAAACACACAGACAUUAUGAGAUACAACGACUUCUACUCUAGUUUCAUUUGGUAGAUGACGGUUGUUUCUAUCCCUCCAUACGGAUGAUGCAGCGAAGGCUUUCCCCUUUAAGCAUCAACUCAAAUGCCUUAUUGAUCUGAGAGAAAGGGACUGAAUGGGUGAUAAACUUUUCAAGUUCAAGCUCCUUGUUCAUGUAUUUUUCCACAACCGAAGGAAGGUCAGUGCGAGGCUUGUAGUUUCCAAAGAAGGUACCUUUGAGAGUCCUUUCAUUCAAAACAUUCAUUGGGUGGGUCUUGAAAACUGCUUCUUUGUGUGGCACUCCAACCAGUACAGCAAUUCCCCAACCAUCAUGUACACAUUCAAAUGCAGAAAUCAUAGCAUCAAUGUUUCCUGUACACUCUACGCUUCUGUCCACUCCUCCAUCAGUCAUCUCAGC
This 557-nucleotide unclassified non-coding RNA is filed under the name Hevea brasiliensis (rubber tree). The record is from RNAcentral. Lineage: Eukaryota; Viridiplantae; Streptophyta; Magnoliopsida; Malpighiales; Euphorbiaceae.